This 61-nucleotide transfer RNA is filed under the name Ictidomys tridecemlineatus (thirteen-lined ground squirrel). RNAcentral's name for it is "Spermophilus tridecemlineatus (thirteen-lined ground squirrel) tRNA". It matches the Rfam family "tRNA", at positions 6 to 65 of the family's 71-position model. From Rfam's summary of the family: Transfer RNA (tRNA) molecules are approximately 80 nucleotides in length. Their secondary structure includes four short double-helical elements and three loops (D, anti-codon, and T loops). The record is from Rfam by way of RNAcentral. Lineage: Eukaryota; Metazoa; Chordata; Mammalia; Rodentia; Sciuridae.
UGUAGCUCAGUGGUAGAGCACUUGCCUAGCAGGUAAGAGGUCCUGGGUUUGAGUCACAGUA